ACAAGUCCCGCUGUCUUUUAUAGGGGCUGCUGACACCUUUGGACCAUUUGCUGGUUGUAUGUAAUGUUCCCAAUCAGCCCAGUGCUGCUACAGGAGUGCUACGGCUGCUAAAGCCUUUUGGACAAGUUUUCAGAGCUCUUGUACUUCAUGGAAACAAGGUGGAUGUUGAUCAGUGCCUUGGGAACAAUAGCAGCAUGCAGAUGGUUUUAGAGAUGGAAUCCGCUUCUGUUGCUUUAUCUGUAUAUGAGUGGUCUCAAAAAAUUCCUUGUGUUUAUCACAACCAUCAUCUGUCUUUCCUCAGAGGAUGCCAUGUACAGAAAAACACAUCUGAGGUCCAUUCAGCCUAAUAUCCUCACAGUUUUAUCCCCUUAAAUAUUGUAUAUUUUCAUUAUCUUUGUAAUAAAAUACAAUGAAACUAGGUCA
Cyprinus carpio (common carp) is the source of this 423-nucleotide long non-coding RNA. RefSeq lists it as uncharacterized. Lineage: Eukaryota; Metazoa; Chordata; Actinopteri; Cypriniformes; Cyprinidae. The transcript has 2 exons. The record is from RefSeq and is a predicted model, not a curated record.